GUCCUGAGAAAACACAGCAGUGAACAGCACGUUUCCUAACCCAACACGACUCCAAAGCUUACCUGACGCACCCCUCCCUCUUGCCAAAACACGGCCUUACCAGCACGGGUUCCUGGGGGAGGUUUCAGCACGUCAGCCCCAGCCCAAUGCACGCGCUGGCUGCGCACACGUGGCUGCUCUGCAUAAAGCACACCUGCAGUUUUUCCAUGCAGCAGAUCACCUCGAGCAGAAGAGCUCUUCACGCGCAUCGAGACCGUCCUCGACACCGCCCAUCAAGCCUGCUGCUGGUCCAAAAGCCCCCUCCUUAAAACGAGCUGAUGGGCACGCUGGGCAGCCUCGGCAAGGCACGGCACAGCGCUCUGCCCCCGGCGCUGCGCCUCCUGCUCCUGCCACCAGCCUCCCCGUGCCCUCAGCACCCAGCCAGCUCCAUCCUUUUUCCUCCCCUGGGCAUAUGCGCGAGUCUUGUGUCUACCACCCGACUCUUCUUCAGAGAGAUGAGUUUCCCAUAAACUUCAUUAGUUAGAUGCAGUUUUUAUAGGUAAUUCAGAACCUCUUCCCACCUUUCUGGGUUAUUAAAUCUAUUAACAUCGCAGGAUAUCGUUAUGUAAGUACUGCUCACCUCCAUUAUGCAGCAGAAUUAGAAGAGAGCUAUCAGAACCCAGAUUGCCGGGUUUCAUCUCAGCCUCUGCGUGAACUCAGGCACCAGAAGCAAACUAACCCGCACGGGAUGGGGCUUCCAUACCGAAGAGAGCGACAAGAAGGCAAGGAGAAGAGGAGGAGACCAAGCCCACGAGGCAGGUAAGGCUUACACGUGUCUCAGGCGAGUGCUGUGAGGAAGGCAGGGGGUUUGCUUGCCCCACUCCGCCCUCCACUUGUCUCCUCCAGCUCUCCUUUCAUUUUCAAUCCACCUUCCAGUCGCAUCUGAGGUUUUUAAUACCACCUACAGUCAACCUAGACCAACCCUUGGAAGGAUCCCCUCCAAGAAAUGUCUAGUUUAAACGCUUACAGAAACCGUGCUUCAUAUUUCUACUCCCUCUUAGUUUAGGUUCAACUGGCUCCCCAGAUGCUUUUUGAAGAAACUGCUAAAACGGGUCAUUUUUUUGACAGGAAACCAGUCCCGGCCAACAGUAAUCUUCAGAAAGCUCUCUCCACCUUUUACUGGAAUAGAAAGCUUCAGAAGAAUAGUGUGAGCCUUUUAAUUAAGUAUGAUAGCUUCUCCAUGGCAUAUAAAAAGGAGGAAAGUUCUGUGUGCAAAACUUUGAAAAAUUGCCUCUUUUUUUCAGCACUUCAGGAGUAUGCAAACUGAAACGUGCGGGGUAUGCUCACCUUGGUGGCUGCCCCAAAAGGCUUCGGCUGAUGCUGCAUUGGAGCCGCGUGUCCCUAAGGGGGAUGCCAGUGGCCACUGCCCCGUCUCAGUAACAGAGGGAAGGGCAGCAUCUCUUUUCCCUAAAUUUCCUCUCACCGCCCCAGGCCCACCCCUCCUGCCAGCCCGUUUGCUUCUCAGCUGUCUCUAGAGACACAGCCAACGCUGGGCGAGCUGAAGGAUCCUCCCCAGCCAGGGCAGCCCCGUUAGCUAGGUGUAACGGAGCAUCCUCACGGGUCCGUCCCAAGGCUCGAGGGACCGCAAGCACUGCUCAGCAAGGAUGGCAGCAACCGUGGCACUGCCACAGGGCCUCCUGCCUCCUGCUCUUAUCCUGUGUAGUAAUCAAAAUUUGAGGCUCAGAGCUGGAACAAAAUAGAAGGUUUUAUAAAAAAAAAAACAAACAUCUGUAUACGAGAAGAGCCAAGGGACACCACACACAAAGAACACUAAAAAUAUGAGGAGCCAACCCUAGCAAGAGAGGAAAUGCUUUUUCUAGACGAACUGGAGAUGUGUUUUUAAAGCACUGGUUGUUACAACGAUCAGCACCAAGAGACUUGGACUCCUUCAACACACGCCACAUACUUCAACUAAUUUUCACGACACCCCAGGGAAGCCAACACCUCCAUAUUAGCAAUCCCAUUACGCAAGCAGGGCGAGCAGGACAGAAAAGCAGCGUCAGCACCCUACAUCCAGCAGAGCAAUGGUGAGUGUGAGUGCUGGUGGGAGGACUGGGCUCGGGCUUGCUUGGCUCAGACCACUACACGACACCUGCCUUGCAUUUUCAGUGCAGACCUACCUACGUUGGCUGCUUCGGAGCGUGGCUUCGGAUCCAUCCUCUGUCCCUCCUGUUAGUUAAACGCUCAGCCUGCGUGGUCACCCUGCCCUCGGAAGGAUCACACAUUUCCCAGUGUCAAUGGGCUCCUCUGCUGCACACCCGG
Molecule: long non-coding RNA, 2301 nt
Organism: Cairina moschata (Muscovy duck)
Lineage: Eukaryota; Metazoa; Chordata; Aves; Anseriformes; Anatidae
Source: Ensembl